Molecule: RNA transcript, 2268 nt
Organism: Hipposideros armiger (great roundleaf bat)
Lineage: Eukaryota; Metazoa; Chordata; Mammalia; Chiroptera; Hipposideridae
Exons: 5
Source: RefSeq, a predicted model, not a curated record
GGCUGCCUCCUGCAGUUGUCACCGCGUCAGCUCUAGGCAUAUACCGGAGCACCCCUCCUGGCAACUUCUUCCAACAGCCCCCCCUCCGAUGGACCCCCAACUCUCUUCUCUCACGCCUCGCCUAUCCAGCGAGGCACAAAGAAAUCUCAGUCUCCAUAAACUUUGUGCUUCCAGUUAUGCAGCCCCCUCCCCUAGCCGCCACCCCCGCCUUUCCAGCUUCUUGGCAGGAAGGUUAGGCCACUGGCAAAAUCCUCGGCGAGAGCCAGCUGAUCACAAAUGCCAACUGUGUGUCUUGGGGCCAGUUAAGUCCUCUCAUCUGCCCAGGCUCUCAGGAGACCAUUUCAUUGCUCUCAAGGUUCCCAGGAGACCGCCGUGGACACGGACCAUCCCCCCACUUGGCCCGCACAGAUGGGAUGCUGAGCGGCGUCUUAAAAGUGCUUUCUCACCACGAGUUUUCAUUUCAGAUUGUAAAAAUUCCGAAUUUGGAGACAGGCAGAUAAUUUUCUCACAUCAAAAAGGAGGACCAUUAGCUAGGUGAUUAGCCCUAAGUGGAAAAUGAACCAUCUCUAAUCAGAAUACUAACUUUUUGAGGAAGUCUGUGGAAGUUCUGAAGUCCCGCCCCAGCCCCCAUGACCUUUAAUUCUUUUAGUUCUUCUGCCACAGGGAAGCAGCCAGCGACAAAUAAAAGAUUUGAUCUUGCCAUAAUUUCCCAAGCAGAAAGCAGCCUUGGAAUGCCUCCUCCAAGGAGGGUAUGCUUUCCAGAUUCUUUCCAGAUGCGGCUAAGGAGAAUAAUGAUAAGAAAGAGGCUCCGUGAGGUCACAGCCAGGGGCCACAGAGAAGAAAUAACAAAGGAAUUCUUCCCAGAGAGUAAAACCAACGCCGAAUCCAGCAACAUCUUCCUGCAUACUCUAGCCCCACUUCUGGUGUGAGACUUUCACGAUAUCUGUUCAGUGGUAUUCCAGAAUCACUAAAUAGCUGACUGCUGUGUCUCUUAUUCUUUCUCUUUCCAAGUCAUCAUAAGCAUUGUGGAUAUCAUAAGCAAGAUGUACUAAAAGAUGAAAGUAUCCUUGGUCCCUGAGUCACUACUUGGAGGGCAACUGCUCAGGAGAGCUGACUGACCUCCACUGGACUGUGACUUGAAUGAAAAAUAAACAGAGAUUCCAAGAUUUUGGAAUGAAGAUUCAGACACAUAUAUCAAAAAGAAAACCAUCAAAUCUUACUCCACCUUAAUGGCCCCUGGUUUACUCCACCUUGAUGGCCCCUGGUUUGAUGUCUGUUUUGCUUACUGUCCCGUGGAACUUUGUGUGACACAUAAAAGAUUUAAACCUGAAUGAUACAAGAAACAGAAUUAAUUAUACACUGACUGAGGAGUGACCUGGAGGUCAGUCAUCUCAUUACCAUCACUACCAGUAGCAGUGUUAGCACUCUUAACUUGGUUACCAGACUGAGCUCGAUUGCUUAUUACUUGACCAGGUAAAGCUUCCUUGGGUGUUAAUUAAAUGUCACCUUUUCAAUGAGGUCAACCUUGACCAAUCCAUUGAAAUUAUAACCCCUGCAUACUCCUGAUGGCCCUACUUUGCUCGACUUUUCUUUAGAUUUGCACAGUUUAUUGUCUUCUAACAUACUACAUCAUUUAUUUAUUUGUUAAUAAUUUAUCCACCCCAGACUCAUGUUUACUAUUUGCAUGGCACACCGUUUUCCAGCCAUUUAUUUUCAAUCUGUCUUUAUAUUUAAAGUAUGUCUCUCAUCGACAACAUAUAGUUGGAUCAUACUUUUUAUCCAUUCUGACAAUUUUUGCUUUUUUUAUUGGAAAGUUUAUGCCAUUAAAAGUUAAUGCAAUUAUUGAUAUGGUUGGAUUUGUGUCUACCAUUUUAUUAUUUGUUUUCACUUUGUCUCUUCCUUCUUUUUGUUCUACUGUUAAUGAUUUCUGACUCCCUUUGGAUUAUUAAAAUAUCUUUAAAAAUAUAUUUUAAUUUAUUGGUUAUGCCUCUUUGCAUAUUUUAAGUGUUUAGCAAUUAAAAUAUACAUUCUUAUUUAUUCACAGUGUACCUAGAAUGCAUAUUGUGUAACUUCACACAAAAUAUACAUAGGAAUACAUACUACAAUCAUAAGCACCCAAAUCCUUUAUAAUCAUCACAAAUAUUACAUCUACAUACAUUAUAACCCCCACAAGACAAUGCUUUAAUUUUUACUAUAAUCAUUCUUAUUUUAAGGAAACUAUGUGGAAAAUAAAAUAAUAUUUUGUAUUUAUCCAGAUAGUUACCAUUU